CUGAAAAGCAACAACAACACUGCUGUGAAGAGCUGUGUGUGAGAAAACCAGCCAGAGAAGCACCUGCUCAGAAUCCAUUUUGCAGCUGAAUGGUCAAAAUAGGAAUACUCAGCACUUCCUGAGAGCAUAUCCGUCUGAGACAUCAGGCUGAGGCAGCUCAUCAGCACUUGGAGGGAUUGUGAGGGAUCAAGCCAGCCGGACUGAGCCAUUUCCACAUGCUGCAGAAGUGCUACAGGCUAGCAUUAGUGACAAAGGAACCUGUUCUCAUGCCACCCAUGAACUAACCAGCAAAGCUCCCAAGUUUCUCCCACUGGUACCCCUGCCACGAGACCAGAAGGGGCUCAGCAUCAUGGGAAGUUCUUGUGGGCUCAUUUCAAACUGGGAGGACUGACAAGGAGGGUCAGUCCCUCCCCUGAUCUUUCUGCUGACAGUGUGCUCCAUGGAAAAAUGCCACAGAACAAAGUCCUGUCCUAUCUGGGCUAAAGCACUGCUCAGAGGAAUUUCCUGAGGAAAGAUCAUUUUGCAGUGAGGGAUUUGCAAAGAAAAGGAGCCACCAACAGUGUCUGCAAGCUGAAGGGAAUGGAGAAGGGAAAAGGACCCCAUGAAGCAGAAGCAGAGUAGAGUAAGAGUUACCUUGGGCAGCAAUUUAUCCCGAGCCCAUUCCAGUUCCCUGAACCCACCUCACGCAGCACAGAGGACAUGGGUCCCAUUUCUCGGCUGUCCCAUGCCCAUCACCAAAUCAGCCCUUCACUGCUAGAGCAGGUUCUGGCUCCUGCAGACACUGCCUGCAGCAAUGCUGGAGGAACAUCAGCAUGACCUGCGCAGGCCGGGUCUGGGGGUGGGUCUGCUCCUCCUACCUGCCUGGUUUGUCGUGAUGUUGGCCAC
This is a long non-coding RNA of Zonotrichia leucophrys gambelii, 885 nucleotides long. RefSeq lists it as uncharacterized. NCBI's taxonomy places the organism in Eukaryota, Metazoa, Chordata, Aves, Passeriformes, Passerellidae. The transcript has 3 exons. The record is from RefSeq and is a predicted model, not a curated record.